GAUCAUGGCUCAGGAUGAACGCUAGCUACAGGCUUAACACAUGCAAGUCGAGGGGCAGCAUUCCAGUUUGCUUGCAAGCUGGAGAUGGGCGACCGGCGCACGGGUGAGUAACACGUAUCCAACCUGCCGAUAACUCGGGGAUAGCCUUUCGAAAGAAAGAUUAAUACCCGAUGGCAUAAUAGAACCGCAUGGUUUGAUUAUUAAAGAAUUUCGGUUAUCGAUGGGGAUGCGUUCCAUUAGG
RNAcentral lists this ribosomal RNA (241 nucleotides) under uncultured bacterium. Its description in RNAcentral is "partial 16S ribosomal RNA". It matches the Rfam family "Bacterial small subunit ribosomal RNA", at positions 15 to 245 of the family's 1533-position model. The record is from RNAcentral.